RNAcentral lists this transfer RNA (69 nucleotides) under Bos taurus (domestic cattle). It matches the Rfam family "tRNA". From Rfam's summary of the family: Transfer RNA (tRNA) molecules are approximately 80 nucleotides in length. Their secondary structure includes four short double-helical elements and three loops (D, anti-codon, and T loops). RNAcentral also lists the same sequence under 4 other names. The record is from Rfam by way of RNAcentral. Lineage: Eukaryota; Metazoa; Chordata; Mammalia; Artiodactyla; Bovidae.
CCUGGUGUCUUAGUGGUAAAGAAUUUGCCUGCCAAAGCAAGAGACACAGGUUCGAUUCCUGAGCCAGGA